This 655-nucleotide long non-coding RNA is filed under the name Helicoverpa zea (corn earworm). RNAcentral's name for it is "uncharacterized LOC124644568". The record is from RNAcentral. Lineage: Eukaryota; Metazoa; Arthropoda; Insecta; Lepidoptera; Noctuidae.
UGCUGUGCUGUUGCAUUGCAAUUUGCACAUUGACAGUUGAUUUUACAAAUCUUCGUUCCUCCAUUCCUCGCCCUUCGGUUUCUUUCGCUUUAUAUUGCUAAAAUAUGCUACAUCUGUAUCGAAUUUUCGUUUACCAUUGAAGCAAACUCUUAACAUGGGGUUGUUGGGGGCGCGUGAGGGGUGUUCUGCCGCGUGCUCGCUGCCGGCGCAGAGAGCUGGCGGGCACACGCGUGCGAGUGCCGCGCCGAGCUGUGCGAGCGAGCUCCCGCUGAGUGACGUGGCGCGCGAUGCGUUUCUGACGAGUCAGCCAUGGAUAAUGCGAGUGAAACUACACGAGUAGAACUCCAGUAGUGUGAAGUCUGACAGUCUCCUGUAAGUAUUGCAAUACUCAUUAUAAAGCUACAUUAUGUGUGAGUAACAUAGGCUAUAUUUUAACCCGGUACGAGCAGUAGUUCCCGUAGGAACGCAGGUGGUACUGCGGGAAAACGGCUAGUCUAUACUAAACUGACAAAGGUCAAUUGGUUUUAAAGCAUAUUAUGUUAUAAAUUGUUUGUUUACAUGCGCAUGGUGGCAAUGAGGGUUUUUUCAAUUUUUUCUGCCACCGGGUGGCGCCACGUAUGCAUCUGGUCCAAACAGCUGUCAAAUAGUAUGGAAU